GUGCCAGCAGCCGCGGUAAGACGAACCGUCCAAACGUUAUUCGGAAUCACUGGGCUUAAAGGGUGCGUAGGCUGCCCGGUAAGUUGGGUGUGAAAGCCCUCGGCUUAACCGAGGAAUUGCGCCCAAAACUGUCGGGCUCGAGGAAGAUAGAGGUGAGCGGAACUAAGGGUGGAGCGGUGAAAUGCGUUGAUAUCCUUAGGAACACCAGUAGCGAAAGCGGCUCACUGGGUCUUCUCUGACGCUGAGGCACGAAAGCUAGGGGAGCGAACGGGAUUAGAAACCCCGGUAGUCC
RNAcentral lists this ribosomal RNA (292 nucleotides) under uncultured bacterium. RNAcentral describes it as "partial 16S ribosomal RNA". It matches the Rfam family "Bacterial small subunit ribosomal RNA", at positions 505 to 796 of the family's 1533-position model. The record is from RNAcentral.